AAAGAAUAAGCCAUGCAUGUCUAAGUAUAAGCAAUCUAUACGGUGAAACUGCGAAUGGCUCAUUAAAUCAGUUAUCGUUUAUUUGAUAGUACCUUACUACUUGGAUAACCGUGGUAAUUCUAGAGCUAAUACAUGCUAAAAACCUCGACUUCGGAAGGGGUGUAUUUAUUAGAUAAAAAACCAAUGCCCUUCGGGGCUCCUUGGUGAUUCAUAAUAACUUAACGAAUCGCAUGGCCUUGUGCCGGCGAUGGUUCAUUCAAAUUUCUGCCCUAUCAACUUUCGAUGGUAGAGUAGUGGUCUACCAUGGUUU
RNAcentral lists this ribosomal RNA (310 nucleotides) under uncultured fungus. RNAcentral's name for it is "SSU rRNA". It matches the Rfam family "Eukaryotic small subunit ribosomal RNA", at positions 39 to 352 of the family's 1831-position model. The record is from RNAcentral. Lineage: Eukaryota; Fungi.